Molecule: ribosomal RNA, 253 nt
Filed under: uncultured bacterium
Lineage: Bacteria
Description: partial 16S ribosomal RNA
Rfam family: Bacterial small subunit ribosomal RNA
Source: RNAcentral
UACGGAGGGUGCAAGCGUUAUCCGGAUUCACUGGGUUUAAAGGGUGCGCAGGCGGGACAUUAAGUCAGGGGUGAAAGACGGUUGCUCAACAAUCGCAGUGCCUUUGAUACUGGUGUUCUUGGGUGACCUUGAGGUAGGCGGAAUGGGUGGUGUAGCGGUGAAAUGCAUAGAUACCACCCAGAACUCCGAUUGCGAAGGCAGCCUACUGGAGGUUUACCGACGCUCAGGCACGAAAGCGUGGGGAUCAAACAGG